RNAcentral lists this transfer RNA (76 nucleotides) under Eubacteriales bacterium. RNAcentral describes it as "tRNA-Pro". It matches the Rfam family "tRNA". Rfam says of the family: Transfer RNA (tRNA) molecules are approximately 80 nucleotides in length. Their secondary structure includes four short double-helical elements and three loops (D, anti-codon, and T loops). Lineage: Bacteria; Bacillati; Bacillota; Clostridia; Eubacteriales. The record is from RNAcentral.
CGAGGUGUGGCGCAGGUGGUAGCGCGCCUGCUUUGGGAGCAGGAAGUCGCAGGUUCGAAUCCUGUCACCUCGACCA